Molecule: RNA transcript, 2215 nt
Organism: Bubalus bubalis (water buffalo)
Lineage: Eukaryota; Metazoa; Chordata; Mammalia; Artiodactyla; Bovidae
Exons: 2
Source: RefSeq, a predicted model, not a curated record
AAGAGUGUCUGGCACAGAGUAGGGGCCCAAUAGGUGCUCAUUGAGUGAGGAUUGGUCACUCUUGCUGCAUGGCCAUUUGCUGUGUUUAGAUCCUUGGGCAUGAGGUCCUACCUGAGGGUGGACGGUAGCAGACUAGUGCUGCUCAAUGGUUGGGAUUUCAGAGAGUCGGGGAGAUAGGGGAGGGUGGGCAGGUGGUGGAAUAUACAAAAUUAAGACUUAGGGCAGGGAUGGCAUGGACUACCCUCUCCUGAUGAGUAGCCCUUGAGUCCACUGGGCAAGAGCAAUGGUCAACUGGGGUCUAAGACCAUGGCCUCCUUGACCCCUAAGGUGGCCUUGCUAGGUGUUCUGAAAAUGGGGAUCAAGGGAACCCUAGUGAUUCUGUCCCUACUUCCCUUUGAGGACAAGUUGGAGGCAGGUGCUGGAUACAAGUCUAUAAUAACAACCAUUUGGAAGUUUCUCCACUCACAGAUGUCAGUCCCCCAUCCUCCAGACAUAUCUCAUAGUGACUGAAUCAUGGGUCAAUGGUGGCGUUGAGAGUGUGUGGGGGACAGCUGAGCCCAUUGAUCAAGGGCUAGGACAUCCUGUCCACUAAUCAGAAAGUUAAUACUCUUCAAUGAGGUAGUGGUGAUUAAUGAAUCAAUAGGUUGGUCCUGUAAUUGUGGAGUGGCAGUCUGGCUCUUUUCCUCUCUUUUAGUGGUAUGGGCAGGUGGGUUGGAUGGGGUUGGUAGACCCCAUACUUCCUUAGCUUCCCUAAUUCUACUCCCAUACCUGACUCCUAAGCCCCAUGGUUAUACAAGAUAGUAAGCCUUUCUGUCCAUCAUGAUUGGGUGGGCCUCUCCCUGGGGUCAGCCUCAGCCCUUUUCUCUGCUUUGUAUCCUGGGUGACCUUGGCUGUUGCUUCCUUACCUCUCAGAGCCUUAGUUUCCUCAUCUGGAAUGUGGGGAGAAACUCAGCUCAUUGUGUUGUUGUGCCUGAAAUCAUGUACUGCCCAGUACACAGUAGGUGCUUAACAAACAGGAGUCUUUCCCUUGCUGGGGAUCUUUGACCCUGAGCCCAGUGGAGAUUGUAACGGGCUAGGGAUGGUGGCAUGUUGUUGGGCAUUCCUGGCAUCACUCAGUCCUGUAAGACAUCAGUGCCCAAGUGACCCCUGGAUGGAAAUGGGGGCACAUUGCCUUGCAAGGGGUCUGUAUACCAGGCCUGCUGGACCUGAAUGUGUAUGUGUCAGGCUGGGUGUACAGGUGGCUGACUCAGCUGCUUCUGGGGAGGGGACUGACCUUGGCCUCCUCCCACCCCUCUCCCAACUCUUGAACAGAGGGAGACAUAGUGGAGUGUCCAGAGGGGUCCCUCCUCCAAGACUUCACAGACAGCAGGUCAAGAGCCAAGGUUAUUGCUCCCAUCCUGCCUCCAGUGGAGAGAGAUUUUUCCCCCACAGGUCUUGUCACUCCUCAGUUCUCCUCCAACAUAUUAUGAAGCAGGGGCUGAAAAGACUGGCUUUUGGAAGGUGCAGCUACAGGUCCCACAGACUGGAAAAAAUAUUCUGGCCUCCUGCCUGCAUCUCCUCUCCCCCACCAUGGACAGGCUAGAAAAGACAGAAUGUCAACCCUGGUCCUAGGGGUCUUCCCAGGAAUCUAGACCGAAUGGUUCACUUCCUCAGGAGGCUACACCUGCUGGGGGAGGGCUGUAGGGUGAAGAUGGGGUUCUGACUAGGCAUCCUGUCCAGAGGUACCCUGAGUACAAGUGUGGGGGCUCCCUCCUCGGCUCCUUGGAGGUGGAGAUAUCAUGUACCGUCUGAGUAUAAUCACAGCGAUCUGCUGUGGGGUCGGGGGAGGAAAGAGGAAGAGCCCCCUCCCUUCAACUCCCCUCCCCUUUCAGACCAGGAUAUAAGCCCCACACAGAACGCACUGAGCUGAGAAGGCCACAGCCCCACCUGUAGAAGUCCAGCCCUUCGGACUCCUCUGGCCUUCUAUCUCCUGACCACUCUGCCUCUGGAGCUGUCGCUGCCAGAGCAGCCUAACUGUGGUGAAGACCGCCACGGCCUCCAGAGAGAAAUAUGCUAAGACACCGACCCCAUUUCCAUGUUUGCUCUUGACCCCGGAACCUGGAUUCUUCUCCAGGCUUGCUGUGUCUGAGGAGUGUGUCCCUUCCCUUGGGCUGGAGGGCUGUGAAUGGUCCUUCCUUGUUCCCUAAAUAAAGUGCAAAUUUCUUUGAAAUGGAAA